Molecule: transfer RNA, 72 nt
Filed under: Ovis aries (sheep)
Lineage: Eukaryota; Metazoa; Chordata; Mammalia; Artiodactyla; Bovidae
Rfam family: tRNA
About the family: Transfer RNA (tRNA) molecules are approximately 80 nucleotides in length.
Source: Rfam by way of RNAcentral
UCCCUGGUGGCUCAGAUGGUAAAGAACCUGCCUGCAAUGCAGGAGACUCAGGUUCGAUCCUUGGGUUGGGAA